This is a long non-coding RNA of Leopardus geoffroyi (Geoffroy's cat), 2080 nucleotides long. RefSeq lists it as uncharacterized. The record is from RefSeq and is a predicted model, not a curated record. Lineage: Eukaryota; Metazoa; Chordata; Mammalia; Carnivora; Felidae. The transcript has 2 exons.
CUCGUGCUCUCUCUCAAAAAUAAAUAAACAUUUAAAAAAUUUUUUUGAAAAAGUAAAUUUAAACUGACAAAGUAGAAACCAUGUGCCUAAGUCAACGUUACGAUGUUCAAUUUUAUUAUUUCUGUUCAUCUUCCUGAAAGUUGGACUUCCUAACCCAUCUCCCACUCACAAUCACCCCCGUCCAACCCAAGUCUUCUGCUCAAACUUGGCUCCCUUGUCCCCGUCAGUGCCACUUUCCUUCUUCUGCCUGAUUCUACCACUGAGAGGGAAUUUUCUCCCUCUCUGUGCCAUCAUGUCAUUCUGUACCCUUGCUCUUGCUAAUGACAUUCUGCUUCACAUGAUGAUAAUUGUUCUUCUCUGUCUUCCCCCUUGCUGUGCCUCACUCGCGUUCAUACCCACAACACCUGCCCCGGAGAACAGGUCCCAGAGACAUUUCCUGAGGGAUGUGGGAUGGGAUCUCGAAGGAGUCAAGCUAAGCAAAGGUGGCUUCCUGGCAGAGGCAUUUUGGUAUUUUGUGGAGUUUGAAAGCCAUGGGGCCAUUUGCAGGAGGUCGACGAGAUAAAAAUUGUAUCACUGUCUCACUGUUUAUUUCAAAAGAAAACCACGAAAAAUGCUCAUGAAGGAGCCUCUUACAGAUUGUCAAGGCAACCAUCUGUUUAUUUUGGUUCCACCGUCUCUGCCCCUCCUUUUCCCAUGCAUUGAAAAUAUGAGCCUUUGCACUGGAUUAUAGCAAAGGGGAUGGCCAGGAAAAUACACGUAGUUUUACUGAACACAAUCCAUCUAGAGAUUUCAAUGCGGUGAGAAUGGGCUGGAAAGGGAAAAUACAAAACAGAAAUCUUUAACUUUAUUAUUCUUUUUUCUGUUAAAUCAGUGAGGGGGAUGACUCCAAGCGAGGCAUCCUCCUUUAAGUUUCUGCGUUAUAUUCAGAAGCACUGACAACUCUCCUAAAAGCAGUGAAAUCCAAAAUGAUCUCUACUAGCUGGACACAGAGGUUGGACACGACUGGAGAACUGGUGGGUAGAAGCAGAUACAGAGAUGGAUAGUAGCUGGCGAAGCUCCAAAGCACAUCUGAUUAUUUGACAUACAUUAGAUGAGAAGGCUGAUCACAGCGGACAUUGAGCUGAACCAACAAUGUAAUAGCCAUUAUAAAAAAAACGGGUGAAAGAAACUGGACACUGGAGUGGUGUCUGUGACCGAUCUAGUAUCCAUUCCAGCCCCCUAAUCCUCUAAUCCGCCUUACUAUACUGCGGGGAAGCAGCAAUCUCCCCAAGAACAGACUGGGAUCAUUGCAUAAAGGGGAGUAAUGUGUCACUGCUCUCAGCAUACGGCCUCUUACCUUUGGUAAGACUGGUCCCCUACCCUUCAGCCAGGUUGAGGUUCUCAGAGAAACCUCUGUUUCUCCUUUGUAGCACGUCUCACCAGGGAAAUUCAAUAGUUAUGCGAUCUGUUACAUGUCUGUCUUCCUACUAGGUCAUUAACUUCAUGAGAACAGUGACCGCAUCUGCCCGUAAAGAUACGGCUGUAUCCUUAUCACUUAGCACAGUGCCAGAUACACAGUAAGUAAGAACAAAAGGAAAUAAACCUGUACCUGUUCUUUUGUAACGAGAAGAAUGGACCGGAAACUAAUCUCACCCCUCCCAGGGCACUGAUGCGAAUGAAGUAGACAGAAUGAGGAAAAGGAAUGGGAUAGGAGGAACAAAGGGAGAGUGACACUUCUCUCCAAGUAUACUUUCUCACGUAUUCUUUUCAAGCCAUGUCAACAUACCACACACUCAUUAAAGCAAAGAAAUAAUUGAAACCAACUGGGAUGCAUAGGCAAUUCAAAAUGGAAUACAAACAAUGAGCCUGGUUUCUCUUUUGUUGUUUUGUUUGUUUGUUUGUCUUUUGUUUUUGUUUUUUUUCCAAAUGAGUAACAUACCCACACUGAAGCAAAGGGAGAAGAAGAAAAUAUACUAACUGGUAAACAGUAUCUUGACUAUAUAGUAAAAGGCUAAAGACAGCACUGUACAGAAGUGGGUGAAUAACUGAAACUAUUUAUACUAGGAAAGGGCAAAAAAAGUAAAUAUACUGUAGAAAAUGA